GGGCCACUUCCACAAAGCCCGAAACCAUUAACAAAACCCUAGCGGCACCCUCGAGCUGGCGCGACCGUGCGCCGCACCGUCGUCGUUCCCCGAGACCCCCUGAUCGACCCACGCGCGCACACCCGCACCCAGGCCCGAUCCCCCGCCGCAACUCCGCCUCCCGUUCGUCUCUAGUCCUCGCCGCCUCCUGCUACGGGCGCGGAGUGGAGUGGAGAAGGAGAUCCGAUUGAUUUCUUCGUUCGUUGUCUCCUUUUCUGCAAAUUCAUAAUCACUGAUGGGGAAAGCAAAGCGUGCCUCAAUCUUCAUCAGGCUGGUUUCUGCAGCUGGUACUGGGUUCUUCUAUGUGAAGCGCAAGAAUCCUCGGCGGAUCACUGAGAAGCUUGAAUUUAGGAAGUAUGAUCCCCGUGUGAACAAGCAUGUUCUGUUUACAGAAGCAAAGAUGAAGUGAUAUCUUCUACCUCCACAAUACAGAACAGGAAUAGGUUGUCGCCUUUUGCAAUUAGAAAUCUCUUGUACUGUUAAGGAUGUAGCCCAACAUUGUCCUGUUCUGAUUUCCAGAGUUCCAUUUAGAUAACUGAAGUGGGUAUGUGAUUUAAGGAUUUUAUGUGUUCUUCCUGUCUGUUUUGUUGCUCGAGUGAGCUGCUGACCUGCGAACGGCUUGUAGUUUUUUAAUCAUUUCCUUUUGAGGUACGAAACUAUAAUCAUCUCCUGGUGAAGGAAAUUCCAAGUUAGUAUCUGCACUUUUCAA
This is a long non-coding RNA of Setaria italica (foxtail millet), 748 nucleotides long. RefSeq lists it as uncharacterized. NCBI's taxonomy places the organism in Eukaryota, Viridiplantae, Streptophyta, Magnoliopsida, Poales, Poaceae. The transcript has 2 exons. The record is from RefSeq and is a predicted model, not a curated record.